This is a long non-coding RNA of Eriocheir sinensis (Chinese mitten crab), 149 nucleotides long. RefSeq lists it as uncharacterized. Lineage: Eukaryota; Metazoa; Arthropoda; Malacostraca; Decapoda; Varunidae. The transcript is spliced from 3 exons. The record is from RefSeq and is a predicted model, not a curated record.
GUAAUGUUGUGUGAUAUGUUUCCUUUCCAGGUAAUGUUGUGUAAUAUGUUUACUUUCCAGGUAAUGUUGUGUGAUAUGUUUCCUUUCCAGGUAAUGUUGUGUAAUAUGUUUACUUUCCAGGUAAUGUUGUGUGAUAUGUUUCCUUUCCA